Oryza sativa Japonica Group (Japanese rice) is the source of this 1770-nucleotide non-coding RNA. The record is from RefSeq and is a predicted model, not a curated record. Lineage: Eukaryota; Viridiplantae; Streptophyta; Magnoliopsida; Poales; Poaceae.
CGAAGGUAAAGCGGAGGUGACGGAAGACGCGGUAUAAAUCGGGGGUGGGAAACUUCCACCGGACGCCACGCCACACAAGUCUCUCCUCCUCCCAUCUCCGCUUCCCUUCUUCUUCUUCUUCGUUGAUCCACUCACCCGCCGCGCGCAGAGGAGGCCAUGGCGGAUCAGCUCACCGACGACCAGAUCGCCGAGUUCAAGGAGGCCUUCAGCCUCUUCGACAAGGACGGCGAUGGUUGCAUCACAACCAAGGAGUUGGGAACUGUCAUGCGUUCACUAGGGCAGAACCCAACGGAAGCUGAGCUCCAGGACAUGAUCAACGAGGUUGAUGCUGAUGGCAAUGGAACCAUUGAUUUUCCUGAGUUUCUCAAUCUGAUGGCUCGCAAGAUGAAGGACACUGAUUCAGAGGAAGAACUCAAGGAGGCCUUCCGGGUGUUUGACAAGGACCAAAAUGGCUUCAUCUCCGCUGCUGAGCUCCGCCAUGUGAUGACAAAUCUUGGCGAGAAGCUAACUGACGAGGAGGUGGAUGAGAUGAUCCGUGAGGCUGAUGUUGAUGGUGAUGGUCAGAUAAACUAUGAGGAGUUUGUGAAGGUCAUGAUGGCCAAGUGAGCCAUGGAACCAUACUCUAAGGCAGAGGAGAUUGUGUGUUGCCUUUUUCUGAAUGUAUUCUGUGCUUGUAAGAGUCAUACACGAUUGCGCAUGGAGCUGGACAAGAAAUUUAAGGUGCUUUGCCUGCACGGCUUCCGGACAAGUGGGAGUUUUCUGAAGAAGCAAAUCAGCAAAUGGAAUCCUUCCAUCUUCCAACAAUUUGACAUGGUCUUCCCUGAUGGCAUAUUCCCAGCUGGAGGGAAAUCAGAGAUAGAAGGCAUAUUUCCCCCACCCUACUUUGAGUGGUUUCAGUUCAACAAGGACUUCACUGAAUACACAAAUCUGGAUGAGUGCAUUUCAUACCUGUGUGAUUACAUGGUGAAAAAUGGACCUUUUGAUGGCCUGCUUGGAUUCUCCCAGGGUGCAACUCUUUCUGCUCUUUUGAUAGGUUACCAAGCACAGGGCAAAGUACUGAAUGAUCAUCCACCAAUCAAGUUCAUGGUCUCAAUAGCUGGGAGCAAGUUCAGGGACCCAAGCAUAUGCAAUGUAGCCUAUAAGGAUCCGAUCAAGGUGAAAUCAGUGCAUUUCAUUGGAGAGAAGGAUUGGCUCAAAGUGCCUUCCGAGGAGCUGGCCGCUGCCUUUGAGGACCCUGUCAUCAUAAGACAUCCCCAGGGCCACACUGUCCCUAGGCUUGAUGAGGCAAGUGUGAAGCAGCUUUCUGAGUGGAGCUCAAGCAUCCUGGAAGACAUCAAGAAUGCAGAUGAUGUUGCCAAGGCUUCAAUUGUGGAGAAGCCAUCUGAGGGUAAUACCGUGGCAGAGUCCGGUGAAAACCUGGUGGAGCAAAUUGCAGCUUGAGUAUGGUAACUGACAGUCUUGACACUGUCUGGAGGCUGGAGCUGAUUGCUGCUUCAAAUUAAACCGGAUUAGUCCGUCAUGAAACUCGAUCUAUCCAAAUGUUUAAGUCUUUAAGAGCUUUCUUUUUUAGCGAAGAUGUUUAAAAACUUUGUUACCACAAAUAUAUUUGCCUGGGUACUGCUUGUAUUCUCUGGGGGAACUAAUUGAAUCGACUCAUAACCGGACCAAAUGGAUUCAGGGAUUCAUCACUGUAGCUCCAGCUACUUGAGAGAGUAAUUGGUGUAAAAUGUCCACAAAACAUUCUGAGGUUCAAACUGAGAUGAUUUUCAA